AGGAAUCUGCCCGGUAGUGGGGGCAUAACCUGGGGAAACCCAGGCUAAUACCGCAUACGUCCUACGGGAGAAAGCAGGGGAUCUUCGGACCUUGCGCUAUCGGAUGAGCCUAUGUCGGAUUAGCUUGUUGGUGAGGUAAAGGCUCACCAAGGCGACGAUCCGUAGCUGGUCUGAGAGGAUGAUCAGCCACAUCGGGACUGAGACACGGCCCGAACUCCUACGGGAGGCAGCAGUGGGGAAUAUUGGACAAUGGGCGAAAGCCUGAUCCAGCCAUGCCGCGUGUGUGAAGAAGGCUUUCGGGUUGUAAAGCACUUUCAGUGAGGAAGAAGGCCUUGGGGCUAAUACCCCCGAGGAAGGACAUCACUCACAGAAGAAGCACCGGCUAACUCCAUGCCAGCAGCCGCGGUAAUACGGAGGGUGCGAGCGUUAAUCGGAAUUACUGGGCGUAAAGCGCGCGUAGGCGGCGUGAUAAGCCGGUUGUGAAAGCCCCGGGCUCAACCUGGGAACGGCA
RNAcentral lists this ribosomal RNA (511 nucleotides) under Halomonas sp. A9. RNAcentral describes it as "bacterial SSU rRNA". It matches the Rfam family "Bacterial small subunit ribosomal RNA", at positions 119 to 625 of the family's 1533-position model. Lineage: Bacteria; Pseudomonadati; Pseudomonadota; Gammaproteobacteria; Oceanospirillales; Halomonadaceae. The record is from RNAcentral.